AGAGUUUGAUCCUGGCUCAGAACGAACGCUGGCGGCGUGUUUAAGACAUGCAAGUCGAACGGGAUGAAGUUGUAGCAAUACCGCUUCAUCCAGUGGCGCACGGGUGCGUAACACGUGAGUUACAUGCCCUGCAGUGGGGAAUAGCCCGCCGAAAGGCGGAUUAAUACCCCAUGGUCCCGCAAGGGUAAAGGUGGCCGCAAGGCUGCCGCUGCAGGAUUGGCUCGCGGCCUAUCAGCUUGUUGGCGGGGUAACGGCCCACCAAGGCUACGACGGGUACCUGGUCUGAGAGGAUGAUCAGGCACACUGGAACUGAGACACGGUCCAGACACCUACGGGUGGCAGCAGUCGAGAAUAAUUCACAAUGGGCGAAAGCCUGAUGGUGCAACGCCGCGUGGAGGAUGAAGGUCUUCGGAUUGUAAACUCCUGUCAUCGGGGAGUAAGACCUGGGCGUGAAUAGCGCACAGGGUUGAUAGUACCCGAAGAGGAAGGGACGGCUAACUUCGUGCCAGCAGCCGCGGUAAUACGAAGGUCCCAAGCGUUGUUCGGAAUCACUGGGCGUAAAGGGAGCGUAGGCGGCGUGGUAAGUCAGAUGUGAAAUCCCGGGGCUCAACCCCGGAACUGCAUCCGAUACUGCCGUGCUUGAGGGUUGGAGAGGUAGCUGGAAUUAUCGGUGUAGCAGUGAAAUGCGUGGAUAUCGAUAGGAACACUCGUGGCGAAGGCGAGCUACUGGACAACAUCUGACGCUGAGGCUCGAAGGCUAGGGGAGCAAAAGGGAUUAGAUACCCCUGUAGUCCUAGCAG
Molecule: ribosomal RNA, 800 nt
Filed under: uncultured bacterium
Lineage: Bacteria
Description: bacterial SSU rRNA
Rfam family: Bacterial small subunit ribosomal RNA
Source: RNAcentral